GAUGAACGCUGGCGGCGUGCUUAAUACAUGCAAGUCGAGCGAACGGACGAGACGUUUGUUUCUUUGUUGUUUGCCGAGGACGGGAGAGUCACAUGUGGAUACUCUCCUUGUCUUUCUGGGAUCACUUGGGGACACCGGAUAUAAUACCGUAUAAUAUCCUGCACCGCAUGGUUUAUUAGUGAAAGUCGGUCUUGCUGUCAGUUCUCGAUGGAUCCGCGCUGCAUUAGCUAGUUGGUAAGGUCACGGCUUACCAAGGUAACGAUGCAUAACCGACCUGAGAGGGUGAUCGGCCACACUGGAACUUGGACACGGUCCAGACGCCUACGGGAGGCAGCAGUAGGGAAUCUUCCGCAAAAGGCGAAAGCCUGACGGAGCAACGCCGCGUGAGUGAUGAAGGUCUUCGGAUCGUAAAACUCUGUUAUUAGGGAAGAACAUAUGUGUAAGUAACUGUACACAUCUUGACGGUACCGAAUCAGAAAGCCACGGCUAACUACGUG
Molecule: ribosomal RNA, 497 nt
Filed under: uncultured bacterium
Lineage: Bacteria
Description: partial 16S ribosomal RNA
Rfam family: Bacterial small subunit ribosomal RNA
Source: RNAcentral